This 395-nucleotide ribosomal RNA is filed under the name uncultured bacterium. RNAcentral's name for it is "partial 16S ribosomal RNA". It matches the Rfam family "Bacterial small subunit ribosomal RNA", at positions 523 to 918 of the family's 1533-position model. The record is from RNAcentral.
AUACGUAGGGUGCAAGCGUUAAUCGGAAUUACUGGGCGUAAAGCGUGCGCAGGCGGUUUUGUAAGACAGAGGUGAAAUCCCCGGGCUCAACCUGGGAACUGCCUUUGUGACUGCAAGGCUAGAGUACGGCAGAGGGGGAUGGAAUUCCGCGUGUAGCAGGGAAAUGCGUAGAUAUGCGGAGGAACACCGAUGGCGAAGGCAAUCCCCUGGGCCUGCACUGACGCUCAUGCACGAAAGCGUGGGGAGCAAACAGGAUUAGAUACCCUGGUAGUCCACGCCCUAAACGAUGUCAACUCGUUGUUGGGGAUUUAUUUUCUCAGUAACGAAGCUAACGCGUGAAGUUGACCGCCUGGGGAGUACGGCCGCAAGGUUAAAACUCAAAGGAAUUGACGGGG